CGAGAGGAGGCGGGCAGGCUGGUGGGCUGGGCGGGCGGCGAGCGGCCGGGAGCGCGCGGUGGACUCGGCCGCGGCGAGUAGUUAGUUAGUUGUUGUUAGUCAGUGUCAGUUGCUCGGCGGCGGCGGCCGUGGUCACCAGGAAGGGGACGGGACGGACGGUGAUGGUGGUCGCCGCGGCGGCGUGUGCGCCCCUCAGGUAUCUGCCCAAACUGGAACUUAUGCUGUAGACAUUUCUUUGUGGUUUAUCUAAAAACCAAAGUUGAAUUCUUUUAGAAGAAGGGAAAAACC
RNAcentral lists this long non-coding RNA (288 nucleotides) under Homo sapiens (human). RNAcentral's name for it is "non-protein coding lnc-PEAK1-1:12". Lineage: Eukaryota; Metazoa; Chordata; Mammalia; Primates; Hominidae. The record is from RNAcentral.